RNAcentral lists this RNase P RNA (250 nucleotides) under Cavia porcellus (domestic guinea pig). Its description in RNAcentral is "Nuclear RNase P". It matches the Rfam family "Nuclear RNase P", at positions 1 to 211 of the family's 301-position model. From Rfam's summary of the family: Ribonuclease P (RNase P) is a ubiquitous endoribonuclease, found in archaea, bacteria and eukarya as well as chloroplasts and mitochondria. Its best characterised activity is the generation of mature 5'-ends of tRNAs by cleaving the 5'-leader elements of precursor-tRNAs. Cellular RNase Ps are ribonucleoproteins. The record is from Rfam by way of RNAcentral. Lineage: Eukaryota; Metazoa; Chordata; Mammalia; Rodentia; Caviidae.
GGUAGAGGGGGGCUCAUUGGUGGGGUUACAAACUAAGUGCCUCAUGUCCCUCCAAUUCAUGUCCUUUGGGAAGUUCUGAGACCAGGGCUAACAGCAGCCCUAGAGGAGUCCUCCCUGAGCCUCUGGGAGUGUGCAGGGUCUGCCAUAGAGCCUUUCCUCAGGAAGGAGACUGGAGCCUGCAUUCCUUAGCUGCAGGUUGGAAUGUGCCACUACCACUUUGUGAAGCACAUCUAGAAUUCUCUUUCAUGUC